RNAcentral lists this small RNA (3311 nucleotides) under Pongo abelii (Sumatran orangutan). Its description in RNAcentral is "processed transcript". Lineage: Eukaryota; Metazoa; Chordata; Mammalia; Primates; Hominidae. The record is from RNAcentral.
GUCUGGGUCUGGGGAUGUGGUGCCGGCUGCCGGCGACCGCCGGCAGUAGAGCGGUGGCCAGGCCGCUGGCCUUGCUCUGGCGAUGUGGUGGCCCAGGAGGUGGCAGGACGGUCAAGACCAGCGCGAGGGUCCUGGGCAGGGCCCGACAGGCAAUAAGCUCACACCUCAUCCUGCUUCCUCCAGUGGUUGUGGCCAGUGAGAAUGUGCAGUGUUGUAUUGCAGAAGAAGCUAAUAAGCUUAUCUGGUCUCUUGUUUCAGUGCCUCUAGGGGAUCCACGUUCAGAAGCUGACUCUGCAGGCGAGACCAACGUUAUUUUCCCGGUGGCUGUGUUCAAAACCACCCAAAGGGUUUGAGAAAUACUUUAAGAGGAGUGGAAGGAACAAACUCAGAAACAUCAACAGCACCAAAAAAAGAGACUGGUGAACUAGAGAAUGCCGAGUCUGGAGGAGAUGGAGGCAGGAGAGGAGGGAAGCGGGAUGACGUUGCCUGGUGGAGGCGGAUGCAGAAGGGGACUUCUGCAAUCUGGCCCUUUUGGGGGCAGGCGUUGCCAUGGGAUUUUUCUACCUCUAUUUUCGAGAUCCUGGAAGAGAAAUCACUUGGAAGCACUUUGUAUAGUAUUACCUGGCCAGAGGUCUGGUGGACCAGCUGGAAAUCCUGAACAAUUUGUGCGUGUUAUUCCUGCCCCUGGGAUCUCUUCUGAAACGUAGCUGGGUGCGAAGAAGCCAAAUUGGAAAUUACGGAAUUUGUGAAUUUCCUGAAGAAUCUCAAGCAGUAUCAGGACUUAGGAGCAAAAAUUCCAAAGGGAGCCAUGCUCAUUGGUCCUCCUGGUACCGGCAAGACCCUUCUUGCCAAAGCAACUGCAGGGGAGGCCACUGUGCCCUUCAUCACUGUGAACGGGUCUGAGUUCCUGGAAAUGUUUGUUGGCGUUGGGCCAGCAAGGGGUGCAACUCUGCCACCAACGUCGUGACGUUGGCUGGCACCAAAUGCCCUGGCAUCCUGGACCCGGCCCUGAUGCGGCCUGGCCGGUUUGAUCGCCAGAUUUACAUUGGUCCCCCUGACAUCAAAGGCAGGGUCCUCCAUCUUUAAGGUCCACCUACGCCCACUGAAGCUGGACGAGAGCCUCAAUAAGGAUGUCCUGGCGAGGAAGCUGGCAGCGCUCACCCCAGGCUUCACUGAUGUCUGUUUACAUACCAAAGUUAAAAAGCUGGAAUGUUACCAAGACUGUUUCUUCUGUCCCUAGAGGGGGAUGACUCAGCAGGGCUGACUCAGCACUACCCCUCAACAGAGAUGACUUAGCUUUGCCCCUCAGCAGGGAUGACUCUGAUGACUCUGCCCCUCAGCAGGGAUUACUAAGCACUACCUUUUAACAGGGAUGGCUCAGCACUGCCCCCCGACAGAGAUGACUGAGCAGGGAUGACUCAGCACUGCACUCCAACUGAGAGGACUCAGCAGGGAUGACUCAGCACUGCCCCCCAACGGAGAUGACUCAACAGGGAUGACUCAAUGCUGCUCCUCAGCAGGGAUGACUUAGCAGGGAUGACUCAGCACUGCCCCCAACGGAGAUGACUCAACAGGAUGAUCAUGCUGCUCCAGCAGGGAUGACUUAGCAGGGAUGACUCAGCACUGCCCCUAACGGAGAUGACUCAGCAGGGAUGACUCAGCACUGCCCCCAACGGGGAUGACUCAGCAGGGAUGAUUCAGCAGAGAUGACUCAGUACUGCCCCUCAGCAGGGAUGACUCAGCAGGGAUGACCAGUAUUGCCCCUGAAUGGGGAUGACUCAGCAGGAAUGAUGCAGCAGGGAUGACUCAGCACUGCCCCUCAGCCAGGAUGACUCAGCAGGGAUGACUCAGCACUGCCCCUCAGCCAGGAUGACUCAGCAGGGAUGGCUCAGCACUGCCCCUCAGCAGGGAUGGCUCAGCACUGCCCCGCAGCAGGGAUGACUCAGCAGGGAUGGCUCAGUACUGCCUCUCAGCAGGGAUGACUAAGCAGGAAUGACUCAGCAGGGAUGACUUAGCACUAACCCCAACGGAGAUGACUCAGCAGAGGUGGCUCAGCAGGGAUGACUCAGCACUGCUCCUCAGCAGGGAUGACUCAGCAGGGAUGACUCAGGACUGCCCCCCCAACAGUGAUGACUCAGGAGGGAUCACUCAGCACUGCCCCCAACAGGUAUGGCUCAGCAGGGAUGACUCAGCACUGCCCCCCCAACGGUGAUGACUCAGCAGGGAUGACUCAGCACUGCCCCCCAACAGGUAUGGCUCAGCAGGGAUGACUCACCACUGCCCCCAACAGGGAUAACUCAGCAGGGAUGACUCAGCACUGCCCCCAACGUGGAUGGCUCAGGAGGGAUGACUCAGCACUGCCACCAACAGGGAUGGCUCAGCAGGGAUGACUCAUUACCGCCCCCCCACGGGGAUGACUCAGCAGGGAUGACUCAGCACUGCCACUCAACAGGGGUAGCUCAGUAGGGAUGACUCAGCACUGCCCCCCAAUGGGGUUGACUCAGCAGGGAUGACUCAGCACUGCCAACUGCCCCCCAACGGGGAUGACUCAGCAGGGAUGACUCAGCACUGCACUCAACAGGGGUGGCUCAGCAGGGAUGACUCAGCACUGCCCCCAACGGGGAUGACUCAGCAGGGAUGACUCGUCACUGCCCCCAACGGGGAUGACUCAGCACUGCCCCUCUACAGGGAUGACUCAGCAGGGAUGACUCAGCACUGCCCCUCAGCAGGGAUGACUCAGCAGUGAUAACUCAGCACUGCCCCUCAGCAAGGAUGACUCAGCAGGGAUGAUUCAGCAGAGAUAACUUGGGGAUGACUCUGACUGCCCCUCAGCAUGGAUGAGUCUGUUUUGCUCCAAUGGAAGCAUCCAUAGUGUCCAUCAGCAGGUGAAUGGCUAAAGUGGUAUAUACUGUAGUCAAAUUCUGCUAUAAAAAGGAAUAAAGUAUUGAUGCAUGCCACAACAUGGGUGAACCUGGAAAAUACUGUUCUAAAUGCAAGAGGCCAGGAACAAAAGGCCACAUAAUAUAUGUUCCCAUUUAUGUGAAAUGUGCAGAAUAAUAAUAAAAAUGUAUAGAAUAGCAAAUCUGUAGGGACAGACAUGAAGUGAGUGGUUGCCAGAAGUGGAAAUGAGAGUUAACUAUAAAUAGCAUAGGGUACCUUACAGAGAUGAUGGAAAUGUCCUAAAACUAGAUUAUGGCAAUGGUUGCACCACAUGAUCCGUUUAUUAAAAAUCGUUGAUGUGUGUGUGUAAAAUGGAUGGAUUUUAUGAUUUAUAAAUUAUACCUUAAUAAAGGUUAACAAAAAAUGUGGCU